AUUGAACGCUGGCGGCAUGCCUUACACAUGCAAGUCGAACGGCAGCACGGGGCAACCUGGUGGCGAGUGGCGAACGGGUGAGUAAUGCAUCGGAACGUGCCAUUGAGUGGGGGAUAACGUAGCGAAAGUUGCGCUAAUACCGCAUAUUCUGUGAGCAGGAAAGCAGGGGACCGCAAGGCCUUGCGCUCUUUGAGCGGCCGAUGUCAGAUUAGCUAGUUGGUGAGGUAACGGCUUACCAAGGCGACGAUCUGUAGCGGGUCUGAGAGGAUGAUCCGCCACACUGGAACUGAGACACGGUCCAGACUCCCACGGGAGGCAGCAGUGGGGAAUUUUGGACAAUGGGCGCAAGCCUGAUCCAGCCAUGCCGCGUGAGUGAAGAAGGCCUGG
This 387-nucleotide ribosomal RNA is filed under the name uncultured bacterium. RNAcentral's name for it is "bacterial SSU rRNA". It matches the Rfam family "Bacterial small subunit ribosomal RNA", at positions 30 to 419 of the family's 1533-position model. The record is from RNAcentral.